This is a long non-coding RNA of Myzus persicae (green peach aphid), 1704 nucleotides long. RefSeq lists it as uncharacterized. The transcript is spliced from 2 exons. The record is from RefSeq and is a predicted model, not a curated record. Lineage: Eukaryota; Metazoa; Arthropoda; Insecta; Hemiptera; Aphididae.
GCGUCGCUAGGGGAGACCCCCAGAACCCCCCGAGAGGGCUGAAAGUGGAUUUCGGUCCACGGACACUGAAUCGUUGCAAUUCUAAAAGUAGCGUCUGUGGGUGGGUUAAACCUCAAAAGUCAGAGAAGGUGAUAAGGAUUUGUAAUAAGGGGCUUUGGAGGUGUCGUUUCGAAGGCGGGAACGUUUGAAAAUCCAAAAAUCUGUGAUUGAACGGGAUUGAUAGUCGAUACGGUCCAGUCUUGUGCUCUUACAAAUGUCGAAACCUAAAGUGUAUAAAUGAGAGCCGUAUUUGAGUGUCUAACAAGUCAGUCACGUCCAGAGAAAAUCGAUUGACGUUCAAUUUAGUCAUCUAUGCAGGCAAUCUGGGCCAGCAUGUAAGAUAUGUGGACACGGUGAUGAGCAGCUGUAGCCUGUAUACACUAAUAUAUACAAAUACAUGAAGACAAUAUACAAUAUAGUAGGUACAUGAUUUUAUUAUACUUAUUAUUAGCCAUUAGGUACUGUUUUCUUUAUGUUUAUUUAAGUGUAAGUGAACCGCAUAACAGAGCAUACAUUAAACAACAUAAGAACAGUUGAACCUUGCUCAUUGAAUGUAUAUUAUACGAUUCAGUAUUAUUCUGGAAUCUGGAAUUAUAAUCUACAUCAGUCAGCCUAAAAUAUAUAUUAUAUUUUAAUUAUUAUAUUCUCUGUUUGAGUGAUUUCAGUUAAAGUUAGUAUAAAAAAUAAUGAAAAUCAAUUUACAUGACAUUAGUAUGCGUUUUACAGACACAGAAUUUAGAAUUCUUAAAACCUGAGUUCAGUUACAGCUGUACCCUCAGUAAAACUCAAAGUAGAUGUGCAGUUUGUGUAAAAAGAAUAGCCAUAAGACUAUAAAUUAUCAUAUAAUGUUUUAUUUAUUAUAAUUUUUUCACUAUUUUAUGAUAAAUUGCCUUAUUUAUAUUGAUUUUUGUAUCAAUGAAUCACAUAAUAGAGUUAACAUUAAAUGCAAAUUCAAUUAUUAUAUUAUCAAACAACAGAAUUAUGUGUAGGUAAGUCAAGCAAUAUAGAGGUGUCAACGUUAGUUUAACUUAUUAAAUGAAAAUAAAUAAUUUUGUAAAAAAAAUUAGCUUUGUUUGUCAAUUUUCUGUUUAUUAAUUUGAAAAUUAAAUACAUUGUAAUCAUCGACAUGUCAGUAGCAAAUAUUAUGCUAGUACACUGCAAUUUCUAAUAUAUCUUGUUAAAAAAUUAAAGAUUUUACAAUAGGCAUGUGCUAAUAUUUAAUAUAUAUAUAUAUAAAUACAUAGACACAAUAUAAUCAAUUAUGAAAUACCUAUAUGUAGUUAAAGACUAAAGAGCCUAUGCAUUAUCUAUAUUAUUAUGUAGAUAUUGUCUUACUUAUGUUGAUUUAAGUAUUAAUGUACCAUGUAACAGUCAUAUUUUGUAUUGAACAUUGCUCAUUAAAAUAAAAUCCAGUUGAUACUUGUGUUCAACAAUGCUCAAAUCUAUAAUAUUAUCCUGGAUUUACUAUAUACAUCAGUCUGCCUAAAAUACAAAUUUAACAGUACCUAUUUAUUAUGUACUAUCUUUGAGUAAAUUCAAACAGAAAUAACAGAAAUGUGUGUAGGUACGUCUAGCAAUGUCUAGUUAAUGUUAGUUUAACUUAUUAAAUACAAUUAAACAGUUGACGGGAAGGAAAUAGCUCUGUCGAUGAAUAAUAAAUGUAAU